CAGCCGCCGCGGUAAUACGAAGGGGGCUAGCGUUGCUUGGAAUCACUGGGCGUAAAGGGUGCGUAGGCGGGUCUUUAAGUCAGGGGUGAAAUCCUGGAGCUCAACUCCAGAACUGCCUUUGAUACUGAAGAUCUUGAGUUCGGGAGAGGUGAGUGGAACUGCGAGUGUAGAGGUGAAAUUCGUAGAUAUUCGCAAGAACACCAGUGGCGAAGGCGGCUCACUGGCCCGAUACUGACGCUGAGGCACGAAAGCGUGGGGAGCAAACAGGAUUAGAUACCCCUGUAGUCCCUGUCUCUUAUAC
This 301-nucleotide ribosomal RNA is filed under the name uncultured bacterium. RNAcentral's name for it is "partial 16S ribosomal RNA". It matches the Rfam family "Bacterial small subunit ribosomal RNA", at positions 509 to 807 of the family's 1533-position model. The record is from RNAcentral.